Non-coding RNA from Felis catus (domestic cat), 84 nucleotides. The record is from Rfam. NCBI's taxonomy places the organism in Eukaryota, Metazoa, Chordata, Mammalia, Carnivora, Felidae.
GCUUGGGUGGCUCAGUUGGUUAAGCAUCUGACUUCAGCUCAGGACAUGAUCUUGCAUUCCUGGGUUCAAGCCCCACAUCGGGCU